UUGAUCUUUAGGAGACUGGGUUGGGAU
This 27-nucleotide small RNA is filed under the name Bombyx mori (domestic silkworm). RNAcentral's name for it is "ovarian small RNA-37740". The record is from RNAcentral. Lineage: Eukaryota; Metazoa; Arthropoda; Insecta; Lepidoptera; Bombycidae.